GUAAGGAUAGAGGCUAGUACUCUAAACAUUGGCUCCUCUUUCCCUUUCUUCAGCAGCCCAGCCGCUCAGGCAUAUCCAAGAAACCCUGGGACUCUGCCAAACACAAGCCUCCGCCAGUGCCGGGCAGACCUUCCGGGGACCUUUGCUCAAGUGAUCAGAGCCCGUGUCUUUGCCCCUCCCACUAAAGAAUAAAAGUGGCCCGUGG
This 205-nucleotide long non-coding RNA is filed under the name Dasypus novemcinctus (nine-banded armadillo). Its description in RNAcentral is "lncRNA (ENSDNOG00000049977.1)". Lineage: Eukaryota; Metazoa; Chordata; Mammalia; Cingulata; Dasypodidae. The record is from RNAcentral.